This 547-nucleotide ribosomal RNA is filed under the name uncultured eukaryote. RNAcentral describes it as "bacterial SSU rRNA". It matches the Rfam family "Eukaryotic small subunit ribosomal RNA", at positions 9 to 561 of the family's 1831-position model. The record is from RNAcentral.
UGAUCCUGCCAGUAGUCAUAUGCUUGUCUCAAAGACUAAGCCAUGCAUGUCUAAGCAUAAAUGAAUUCAUAGUGAAGCCGCGAAUAGCUCAUUACAACAGCCAUAGUUUAUUGGAUAAUAUCCUACAUGGAUAACUGUGGUAAUUCUACAGCUAAUACACGCAUCAAAACCCAACCUAACGGUGGGGUGCUUUUGUUACUUCAAACCAAUCGGGCUUCGGCCUGAUGUCUAAGUGAACUUGAACAAUUUAGCUGAUCGCACGGUCAAAGCACCGGCGACAUAUCCUUCAAAUGUCUGCCUUAUCAACUUUCGAUUGUAGGUUAUGCGCCUACAAUGGUUGUUACGGGUAACGGAGAAUCAGGGUUUGAUUCCGGAGAGGGAGCCUGAGAAACGGCUACCACAUCCAAGGAAGGCAGCAGGCACGCAAAUUACCCACUCCCGGCUCGGGGAGGUAGUGACGAAAAAUAACAAGCUGGUCUCAAUGAGUUCCGGCAUUGUAAUGGGAACAAUUUAAAUCAUUUAUCGAGGAUCUAUUGGAGGGCAAGUC